This 88-nucleotide transfer RNA is filed under the name Phascolarctobacterium sp. RNAcentral describes it as "tRNA-Ser". It matches the Rfam family "tRNA". Rfam says of the family: Transfer RNA (tRNA) molecules are approximately 80 nucleotides in length. Lineage: Bacteria; Bacillati; Bacillota; Negativicutes; Acidaminococcales; Acidaminococcaceae. The record is from RNAcentral.
GGAGAGGUGUCCGAGUGGUCGAAGGUGAUUGACUCGAAAUCAUUCGUGCGGCAACGCACCGUGGGUUCGAAUCCCACCCUCUCCGCCA